Molecule: ribosomal RNA, 966 nt
Filed under: Pseudoasteromassaria fagi
Lineage: Eukaryota; Fungi; Ascomycota; Dothideomycetes; Pleosporales; Latoruaceae
Description: SSU rRNA
Rfam family: Eukaryotic small subunit ribosomal RNA
Source: RNAcentral
GUUAUCGUUUAUUUGAUAGUACCUUACUACUUGGAUAACCGUGGUAAUUCUAGAGCUAAUACAUGCUGAAAACCCCGACUUCGGGAGGGGUGUAUUUAUUAGAUAAAAAACCAAUGCCCUUCGGGGCUCUUUGGUGAUUCAUGAUAAUUUCUCAGAUCGCAUGGCCUUGCGCCGGCGACGGUUCAUUCAAAUUUCUGCCCUAUCAACUUUCGAUGGUAAGGUAUUGGCUUACCAUGGUUUCAACGGGUAACGGGGAAUUAGGGUUCGAUUCCGGAGAGGGAGCCUGAGAAACGGCUACCACAUCCAAGGAAGGCAGCAGGCGCGCAAAUUACCCAAUCCCGACACGGGGAGGUAGUGACAAUAAAUACUGAUACAGGGCUCUUUUGGGUCUUGUAAUUGGAAUGAGUACAAUUUAAACCUCUUAACGAGGAACAAUUGGAGGGCAAGUCUGGUGCCAGCAGCCGCGGUAAUUCCAGCUCCAAUAGCGUAUAUUAAAGUUGUUGCAGUUAAAAAGCUCGUAGUUGAACCUUUGGCCUGGCUGGCAGGUCCGCCUCACCGCGUGCACUUGACCGGCCGGGCCUUUUCUUCUGGAGAACCGCAUGCCCUUCACUGGGUGUGUUGGGGACCAGGACUUUUACUUUGAAAAAAUUAGAGUGUUCAAAGCAGGCCUUUGCUCGAAUACGUUAGCAUGGAAUAAUAGAAUAGGACGUGCGGUCCUAUUUUGUUGGUUUCUAGGACCGUCGUAAUGAUUAAUAGGGACAGUCGGGGGCAUCAGUAUUCAAUUGUCAGAGGUGAAAUUCUUGGAUUUAUUGAAGACUAACUACUGCGAAAGCAUUUGCCAAGGAUGUUUUCAUUAAUCAGUGAACGAAAGUUAGGGGAUCGAAGACGAUCAGAUACCGUCGUAGUCUUAACCAUAAACUAUGCCGACUAGGGAUCGGGCGGUGUUUCUAUUUUGACUCGCUCGGC